GGCAGCGGGAGGCCGGCCCCCGUGGCGAGAGCCAUGAGGAAAGUCCCCCCACCCGUCGGACAGGUGACCGGGCACAAGCCCGGGGCGGGAGACCGUCGGCUAUGGAACAGCAACGACACGUCGUCGUGGGACCGAUGAGGUGCGCGAAUCCCGAGCGAAGCGCCGUGGUGCCGUCCGCUGAAGCGAGGGAGAGCUAACCCACCGAGGACCCGUACCGUGGCUCGCCAUCCGGCGUGUCACGCUCCCCACGACGGACCGAUGGAACGGCGAAUCCUCACCGGUGCAAGGGCGCGUCGACAGGUAGUCCGACACCGCGCGCAAGCGCUCGGACGCGACCGCUCAGCCGAAUGCCGGCCCGAACAGAAGGGGGCUUACUCCCCGCAGCC
This 386-nucleotide RNase P RNA is filed under the name Haloarcula saliterrae. RNAcentral's name for it is "RNase P RNA component". It matches the Rfam family "Archaeal RNase P". Rfam says of the family: Ribonuclease P (RNase P) is a ubiquitous endoribonuclease, found in archaea, bacteria and eukarya as well as chloroplasts and mitochondria. Its best characterised activity is the generation of mature 5'-ends of tRNAs by cleaving the 5'-leader elements of precursor-tRNAs. The record is from RNAcentral. Lineage: Archaea; Methanobacteriati; Methanobacteriota; Halobacteria; Halobacteriales; Haloarculaceae.